GUGGCGACGAUGCGUAGGGGUUCUGAGAGGAAGGUCCCCCACACUGGUACUGAGACACGGACCAGACUCCUACGGGAGGCAGCAGUGAGGAAUAUUGGUCAAUGGGAGAGAUCCUGAACCAGCCAAGCCGCGUGAGGGAAGACGGCCCUAUGGGUUGUAAACCUCUUUUGUCGGAGAACAAAACCCGGGACGUGUCCCGGACUGCGUGUAUCCGAAGAAAAAGCAUCGGCUAACUCCGUGCCAGCAGCCGCGGUAAUACGGAGGAUGCGAGCGUUAUCCGGAUUUAUUGGGUUUAAAGGGUGCGUAGGCGGUCCGUUAAGUCAGCGGUAAAAUUGCGGGGCUCAACCCCGUCGAGCCGUUGAAACUGGCAGACUUGAGUUGGCGAGAAGUACGCGGAAUGCGCGGUGUAGCGGUGAAAUGCAUAGAUAUCGCGCAGAACUCCGAUUGCGAAGGCAGCGUACCGGCGCCAGACUGACGCUGAGGCACGAAAGCGUGGGGAUCGAACAGGAUUAGAUACCCUGGUAGUCCACGCAGUAAACGAUGAAUGCUGGUUGUCCGGGUCGAAUGAGAUCUGGGCGGC
This 580-nucleotide ribosomal RNA is filed under the name uncultured bacterium. RNAcentral's name for it is "bacterial SSU rRNA". It matches the Rfam family "Bacterial small subunit ribosomal RNA", at positions 270 to 847 of the family's 1533-position model. The record is from RNAcentral.